Molecule: long non-coding RNA, 913 nt
Filed under: Manacus vitellinus (golden-collared manakin)
Lineage: Eukaryota; Metazoa; Chordata; Aves; Passeriformes; Pipridae
Description: lncRNA (ENSMVIG00005004247.1)
Source: RNAcentral
CCGCCUGGCCCCGAGGGCGCGCGCGUGGCCCAGUGGCCGAUCGCGACAUGUCGGGGGCGGCGGCGACAGCGAAAGGGCUCCCCCGGCACUGCCCCCCCGACCACGGAGCUUUCCAGGUGGAUGUGGCCGAUCCCAAAAGCGUCGCCGGGAUGGUGAGGGGGGUGCAGGAGCACUUUGGGGUUCCCCCCCGUGUCCUGGUGUCCUGUGCCGGGAUCACCCGCGACCGGAUGUUCCUGGAGAUGGGAGAGCGGGAAUUCCGGGAGGUGCUGGGGGUGAACCUGGAGGUGAGAGGGGACACUGGGGACACUGGGGGGACAUUGGGGGGACAUUGGGGGGACAUUGGGGACAUUGGGGGACAUGGGACAUUGGGGGACAUUGGGACACUGGGAACAUUGGGGGCAACAGUGGGGGCAUGAGGGACAUUGGGGGGAAUUGGGGACAUUGGGGUCAUGGGGACAUUGGGGGACAUUGGGGACAUUGCGGGGACAGUGGGGACAUUGGGGACAUUGGCGGGGACAUUGGGGACAUUGGGGGAACAGGGGGGGACAUUGGGACAUUUGGGGGACAUUGGGGACAUUGGGGGACAUUGGGGGGACAUUGAGGACAUUGGGGGACAUUGGGGGGGUUGUGCCACCCCCGAUGUCCCCCCGCUGCCCCCCCAGGGGACGUUCCUGGUGACACAGGAGGUGACAAAGGCCCUGGUGACAUCGGGGGACCCCGGGGGGGCCUCCCUGGUCCUCGUGGGCAGCGUGGUGGCCAAGGUUUGGGAUCCGCUGCAAUUCCGUCCUGCCGGGAUUUAUCGUCACCCCCAUGACGGACAAAGUGCCCCUAAAAGUGCUGGACAAGGUGACAGCGGGGGGGUGGCACCUCCUGGGGACAUUGGGGGACAUUGGGGACAUUGGGGACAUUGGGG